CCUACGUGAGGCAGCAGUGGGGAAUCUUGCACAAUGGGGGAAACCCUGAUGCAGCAACGCCGCGUGAGUGAAGACGUAUUUCGGUAUGUAAAGCUCUAUCAGCAGGGAAGAAGAUGACGGUACCUGAUUAAGAAGCCCCAGCUAACUACGUCACAGCAGCCGCGGUCAUACGUCGGGGGCAAGCGUUAUCCGGGUGUAAUGGGGGUGAAGGGAGCGCUGAGGGGAGUGCAAGGCUGGAGUGAAAGCCCGGGGCCCAACCCCGGAACUUCUCUGGAAACUCUGCGGCUGGAGUGCGGGAGGGGCAGGCGGAAUGCCUGGUGUAGCGGUGAAAUGCGUAGAUAUCAGGAGGAACACCGGCGGCGAAGGCGGCCUGCUGGACCGCGACUGACGUUGAGGCUCGAAAGCGUGGGGAGCGAACAGGAUUAGAUACCCCGGUAGUC
This 440-nucleotide ribosomal RNA is filed under the name uncultured bacterium. RNAcentral's name for it is "partial 16S ribosomal RNA". It matches the Rfam family "Bacterial small subunit ribosomal RNA", at positions 338 to 795 of the family's 1533-position model. The record is from RNAcentral.